RNAcentral lists this unclassified non-coding RNA (213 nucleotides) under soil metagenome. Its description in RNAcentral is "partial contains 5.8S ribosomal RNA, internal transcribed spacer 2, and large subunit ribosomal RNA". The record is from RNAcentral.
AACAUCGCGCACCUGCGGGAACCUGCGGAAGGAUCAUUACAGAGUUAUCCAACUCCCAAACCCAUGUGAACUUAUCUCUUUGUUGCCUCGGCGCAAGCUACCCGGGACCCCGCGCCCCGGGCGGCCCGCCGGCGGACAAACCAAAACUCUUGUUAUCUUAGUUGAUUCUCUGAGCGUCUUAUUUAAUAAGUCAAAACUUUUAACAAUGGAUCU